AAAAUGGCAAGUAUUCAAUGCACUGUCUCUAACUAACAAUGUAAAGCAAUAUUACUUUAAAGUUGACAUCAUUCAAUGUUCUUUUUUUUUAAUAGUAACUGUAUGUGUCAAUUGAAAAGUUUUGCUACUUGAAAAUAAAGUAGUUGACUGGGGUGGUGUUUUGGUACUCUUAGGUUGUACCUCUAUCACUUCCCUGCAGCUGCUUCAGUUGGUGUUUUGGUAGUCAUCUGGUCGACUGCAUGCACAGUGUUCUGAAGUUCUUCCCAUAUGGCUUUGUAGACCAUCCUCUGCCUAUUCACAGCUGAUUGUCCCUCAAAAGCUGUAGCGAUUACAUCAAUGCUGACAUGCCGACCAUCACCAUAAGCAUCUUUCACUACGACUGUGUCCGCAUCCAACUGUUCCUUGAUCUUUUUCUCCAUAGACUGCAUAAGAGGGGAAUCAAAUGAGCUACUGCCAGUAUCGCUAGUUGCUCGAAUACUGAAACUCCGAUGACCGGCGAAAGCCUCAAACUUCAACCCUAUGUGGGAAAGUUGCUUCAUCGGCCUGUAGGAACGGACUGCAAUAGAAUAGCAUUUCACCAUUGCAGAUAGACGUGGCUGAACGGAGCAGCUAAGUCGCCGGAUACAUAGCGCCGCCACGUUUGGCCUCACAAACAGAGCCUUCGUCAUCCCUACUGCUUCUUUCCCGUAUAUGGUCACAAGCAAAUUAAAAU
Molecule: unclassified non-coding RNA, 712 nt
Filed under: Hevea brasiliensis (rubber tree)
Lineage: Eukaryota; Viridiplantae; Streptophyta; Magnoliopsida; Malpighiales; Euphorbiaceae
Source: RNAcentral